UGGCGAACGGGUGAGUAACACGUGAGUAACCUGCCCUUGACUUUGGGAUAACUUCAGGAAACUGGGGCUAAUACCGGAUAGGAGCUCCUGCUGCAUGGUGGGGGUUGGAAAGUUUCGGCGGUUGGGGAUGGACUCGCGGCUUAUCAGCUUGUUGGUGGGGUAGUGGCUUACCAAGGCUUUGACGGGUAGCCGGCCUGAGAGGGUGACCGGCCACAUUGGGACUGAGAUAUGGCCCAG
Molecule: ribosomal RNA, 237 nt
Filed under: uncultured bacterium
Lineage: Bacteria
Description: partial 16S ribosomal RNA
Rfam family: Bacterial small subunit ribosomal RNA
Source: RNAcentral